RNAcentral lists this ribosomal RNA (524 nucleotides) under uncultured bacterium. RNAcentral's name for it is "partial 16S ribosomal RNA". It matches the Rfam family "Bacterial small subunit ribosomal RNA", at positions 28 to 523 of the family's 1533-position model. The record is from RNAcentral.
GACGAACGCUGGCGGCGUGCCUAAUACAUGCAAGUCGAGCGCAGGAAACUGACGGAACUCUUCGGCGGGAAGGCAGUGGAAUGAGCGGCGGACGGGUGAGUAACGCGUAAGGAACCUGCCUCAAGGAUUGGGAUAACUCCGAGAAAUCGGAGCUAAUACCGGAUAGUUCAACGGACCGCAUGGUCCGCUGAUGAAAGGCGCUCCGGCGUCACCUUGAGAUGGCCUUGCGGUGCAUUAGCUAGUUGGUGGGGUAACGGCCCACCAAGGCGACGAUGCAUAGCCGACCUGAGAGGGUGAUCGGCCACACUGGGACUGAGACACGGCCCAGACUCCUACGGGAGGCAGCAGUAGGGAAUCUUCCACAAUGGACGAAAGUCUGAUGGAGCAACGCCGCGUGAGUGAUGAAGGUUUUCGGAUCGUAAAACUCUGUUGUAAGGGAAGAACACGUACGAGAGGAAAUGCUCGUACCUUGACGGUACCUUACGAGAAAGCCACGGCUAACUACGUGCCAGCCGCCGCCGUAA